GACGAACGCUGGCGGCGCGCUUAACACAUGCAAGUCGAACGGAAAGGCCUGCUUUCCCUUGUGGAUUGCGGGUACUCGAGUGGCGAACGGGUGAGUAACACGUGAGUGAUCUGCCCCCAACUUGGGUAUAAGCCUGGGAAACUGGGUCUAAUUCCCGAUAGGACUGCAGGGUGGUGCCUGUGGUGGAAAACGAUUUUCUAGUGGUUGGGGAUGAGCUCGCGGCCUAUCAGCUUGUUGGUGGGGUAAUGGCCUACCAAGGCGGCGACGGGUAGCCGGCCUGAGAGGGUGGACGGCCACAUUGGGACUGAGAUACGGCCCAGACUCCUACGGGAGGCAGCAGUGGGGAAGAUUGCACAAUGGGCGGAAGCCUGAUGCAGCGACGCCGCGUGGGGGAUGACGGCCUUCGGGUUGUAAACUCCUUUCGACCGCGAGGAAGCCACCUGGUUGGAAGGGUGGCGACGGUAGUGGUAGAAGAAGCACCGGCUAACUACGUG
This 494-nucleotide ribosomal RNA is filed under the name uncultured bacterium. RNAcentral's name for it is "partial 16S ribosomal RNA". It matches the Rfam family "Bacterial small subunit ribosomal RNA", at positions 28 to 507 of the family's 1533-position model. The record is from RNAcentral.